UGAACCUGAGAGUUUGAUCCUGGCUCAGAGCGAACGCUGGCGGCAUGCUUAACACAUGCAAGUCGCACGAACCUUUCGGGGUUAGUGGCGGACGGGUGAGUAACGCGUAGGAACCUAUCUGGAGGUGGGGGAUAACAUCGGGAA
This 144-nucleotide ribosomal RNA is filed under the name Parasaccharibacter apium. RNAcentral's name for it is "partial 16S ribosomal RNA". It matches the Rfam family "Bacterial small subunit ribosomal RNA", at positions 1 to 155 of the family's 1533-position model. The record is from RNAcentral. Lineage: Bacteria; Pseudomonadati; Pseudomonadota; Alphaproteobacteria; Acetobacterales; Acetobacteraceae.